This 143-nucleotide small RNA is filed under the name Flavobacterium weaverense. Its description in RNAcentral is "Flavo-1 RNA". It matches the Rfam family "Flavo-1 RNA". The record is from RNAcentral. Lineage: Bacteria; Pseudomonadati; Bacteroidota; Flavobacteriia; Flavobacteriales; Flavobacteriaceae.
UCUUAGCCCUGACAGUAAUGAAAUUCCUAUAGUCCUUAACCCUAUUUUUUUCACGAAGAAAAGAGCGACCGCAGGAAGCUCCUUUUAUGACUUAUAAAAAAAGGAUUAAGAACUAGAGAUUGAAAUGUAUGGCGGGAAUAGCU